This 465-nucleotide ribosomal RNA is filed under the name uncultured Haemophilus sp. RNAcentral's name for it is "bacterial SSU rRNA". It matches the Rfam family "Bacterial small subunit ribosomal RNA", at positions 338 to 795 of the family's 1533-position model. Lineage: Bacteria; Pseudomonadati; Pseudomonadota; Gammaproteobacteria; Pasteurellales; Pasteurellaceae. The record is from RNAcentral.
CCUACGGGGGGCUGCAGUGGGGAAUAUUGCGCAAUGGGGGCAACCCUGACGCAGCCAUGCCGCGUGAAUGAAGAAAGCCUUCGGGUUGUAAAGUUCUUUCGGUAGCGAGGAAGGCAUUUAGUUUAAUAGACUAGGUGAUUGACGUUAACUACAGAAGAAGCACCGGCUAACUCCGUGCCAGCAGCCGCGGUAAUACGGAGGGUGCGAGCGUUAAUCGGAAUAACUGGGCGUAAAGGGCACGCAGGCGGUGACUUAAGUGAGGUGUGAAAGCCCCGGGCUUAACCUGGGAAUUGCAUUUCAUACUGGGUCGCUAGAGUACUUUAGGGAGGGGUAGAAUUCCACGUGUAGCGGUGAAAUGCGUAGAGAUGUGGAGGAAUACCGAAGGCGAAGGCAGCCCCUUGGGAAUGUACUGACGCUCAUGUGCGAAAGCGUGGGGAGCAAACAGGAUUAGAUACCCGUGUAGUC